This 21-nucleotide microRNA is filed under the name Helianthus annuus (common sunflower). Lineage: Eukaryota; Viridiplantae; Streptophyta; Magnoliopsida; Asterales; Asteraceae. The record is from RNAcentral.
CUCAAUGCUGCUUCUAUCACA